CUGAAUAACUAUGCCGAUCGCACAGUCCUCGUACUGGCGACGUAUCUUUCAAAUGUCUGCCUUAUCAACUUUCGAUUGUAGUUUACACGGCUACAAUGGUCGUAACGGGUGACGGAGAAUAAGGGUUCGACUCCGGAGAGGGAGCCUGAGAAACGGCUACCACAUCCAAGGAAGGCAGCAGGCACGCAAAUUACCCACUCCCGGCACGGGGAGGUAGUGACGAAAAAUAACGAGACGGUUCUCUAAGAGGCCUGUCAUCGAAAUGGGUACAAUUUAAAUCCUUUAACGAGGAUCUAUUGGAGGGCAAGUCUGGUGCCAGCAGCCGCGGUAAUUCCAGCUCCAAAAGCGUAUAUUAAAGUUGUUGCGGUUAAAAAG
This 375-nucleotide ribosomal RNA is filed under the name Nematoda sp. RNAcentral describes it as "SSU rRNA". It matches the Rfam family "Eukaryotic small subunit ribosomal RNA", at positions 252 to 626 of the family's 1831-position model. Lineage: Eukaryota; Metazoa; Nematoda. The record is from RNAcentral.